CAGAUUGAACGCUGCGGAAUGCUUUACACAUGCAAGUGAACGGUAGAGGGGCAACCCUUGAGAGUGGCGAACGGGUGAGUAAUAUAUCGGAACGUGCCCAGUCGUGGGGGAUAACGUAGCGAAAGUUACGCUAAUACCGCAUACGAUCUAAGGAUGAAAGCGGGGGAUCGCAAGACCUCGCGCGAUUGGAGCGGCCGAUAUCAGAUUAGGUAGUUGGUGAGGUAAAGGCUCACCAAGCCAACGAUCUGUAGCUGGUCUGAGAGGACGACCAGCCACACUGGAACUGAGACACGGUCCAGACUCCUACGGGAGGCAGCAGUGGGGAAUAUUGGACAAUGGGCGCAAGCUGAUCCAGCAAUGCCGCGUGCAGGAUGAAGGCCUUCGGGUUGUAAACUGCUUUUGUACAGGAAGAAACCCUCCCACGUGUGGGAGCUUGACGGUACUGUAGGAAUAAGGAUCGGCUAACUCCGUG
Molecule: ribosomal RNA, 472 nt
Filed under: uncultured bacterium
Lineage: Bacteria
Description: bacterial SSU rRNA
Rfam family: Bacterial small subunit ribosomal RNA
Source: RNAcentral